GAGGCAGCAAAAGCCAUGCUGAGGCAAAUCAUGAAAAUGGAUGCUUCUUCCAGGAUGGAAUCUUAUAACAAUGGUCUUGAAGAUUUCCUAGCUGGCGGUGGCUCACCAUCAUCCAGCGGAAUGGAGAGUGGGAGCCCUUCAAGCCGUAUAUCAGGAGUGACUCUUCAAGAGGUCCCACCAACUACAGGGCAUUCAACCUAUGUACCACCAGUCUCAGGGUUAUCAGGGCAUGACCCUGCAGAUUCUGUAUCAGAAAUAAAAUCCACUCCAUGCAUUCCUAGUUCUGAAAAGAUAACAGCACAGUUUCCAGAUAUAAGUGUUCUGGUUGGAUCACAAGAGGCACCCACUAUUUCUAUUCCUCAGUCAGAUGUAGUUAUGCCUACACUUUCUCAGAUACCAGAAAUGGUGCCAGAAGGUAUUGUUGAUAUUCCUGGCGAAGUUUAUAUGGAGCCUGAGGCUGUCAAUGAUGGAUUUAUGGAUCUCACUCCAAUAGGAAUUGGAAAUGUUUCCCCAGAUCCUGAUAUUGAUAUAUUGCUUGAAAAUUCUAGCUUCUGGGAUGAACUUGUGCAAAGCCCAGUACCUGAGGAUAUUGAAUCAAGCUCCAUGGAUGGUCAAACAAAUGAAAAUGAUGUGCAGUCAAUGGACAAUGGGUGGGACAAAACUCAGCACGUGGAUCAGCUUACGGAGCAGAUGGGACUUCUCACGUCAGAUGCUAAAAUGCUUUGAUCUUGUUUACAGAAUGUACACUUCUUGCACUCUGCCCUAGUUAAUAAACAACUAAACGAUAGAAGGCGAGUGGCUGCAGCCUAGAAGAACCCUAACCUAUUGGAUGUGGUUGACGAAUGCAUUGGUCCAUCGUAUGCUCGAACGUGUUUCUGCAGAAUGCUGUUACAACCACUGUAUGUUUGUGCAGUCAAUUCUGGUUUUCCAGAC
RNAcentral lists this unclassified non-coding RNA (933 nucleotides) under Hevea brasiliensis (rubber tree). Lineage: Eukaryota; Viridiplantae; Streptophyta; Magnoliopsida; Malpighiales; Euphorbiaceae. The record is from RNAcentral.